AUAGUACUGAAUCUCAGAAAAACUGAUUACAUAGUUUUGCUCAAGCGUGGCUUUUGUGUUCCUGGCCUGGGCUGUGUGCAGGAGCAUGAACCAUCUGAACUCAAAGCACUACAGUGUUGCUUUUACAAGGGUGCCUCCUACAUCAGACUUUGUGGUGGAAUGUACACAUCACCUGCAGCUGUAGUCACCAGUUCCUUCCUGAGCAGGAAGUGUUCCUGGGUGGAUCCAUUGUCCCUUGUAGACAGACAUCACUACUAUAACAGCCUGCUACUACUGGAGACAAACAUGGCUUUUGAUACUGUUGAAGAUGCUGGCUGAUUAUGUCAUACUGAAGGUCCAU
Long non-coding RNA from Mauremys reevesii (Reeves's turtle), 340 nucleotides. RefSeq lists it as uncharacterized. The transcript has 3 exons. The record is from RefSeq and is a predicted model, not a curated record. Lineage: Eukaryota; Metazoa; Chordata; Testudines; Geoemydidae.